GACGAACGUUGGCGGCGUGCUUAAUACAUGCAAGUCAACUGAAGCAGUGGUAGCAAUAUCGCUGUGGAGGUGGCGCACGGGUGAGUAACACGUAGGUAAUCUGCCUUCAGGUCUGGCAUAACUCCGGGAAACCGGGGCUAAUAGCAGAUGAUGCAGCGGCUCGACAUCGAGACAGUUGUUAAAGCUAUGGCGCCUGAAGAUGAGCCUGCGUCUGAUUAGCUAGUUGGCGGGGUAACGGCCCACCAAGGCAACGAUCAGUAGCUGGUCUGAGAGGAUGAUCAGCCACACUGGAACUGAGACACGGUCCAGACUCCUACGGGAGGCAGCAGUAAGGAAUAUUGCUCAAUGGGAGAAAUCCUGAAGCAGCAACGCCGCGUGAGGGACGAAGGGCUUUGGCUUGUAAACCUCUGUAGUGAGAGAAAAAUAUCCCAAUCUUUGGGACAUGAUGGUAUCUCAAAAGUAAGCCCCGGCUAACUACGUG
Molecule: ribosomal RNA, 481 nt
Filed under: uncultured bacterium
Lineage: Bacteria
Description: partial 16S ribosomal RNA
Rfam family: Bacterial small subunit ribosomal RNA
Source: RNAcentral